CAAUAGCGUAUAUUAAAGUUGUUGCAGUUAAAAAGCUCGUAGUUGGGUUUGUGGCGUACGGUGGGUUCCGGGCACUUGUUGUCUGAGUAACUUGCUGUUGCCAUCCUUGGGUGGAACCUGUGUGGCAUUAGGUUGUCGUGCAGGGGAUGCCCAUCAUUUACUGUGAAAAAAUUAGAGUGUUCAAAGCAGGCUUAUGCCGUUGAAUAUAUUAGCAUGGAAUAAUGAGAUAGGACUUUUUUGCUAUUUUGUUGGUUUGCGCAAAGAGGUAAUGAUUAAUAGGGACAGUUGGGGGUAUUCGUAUUCCAUUGUCAGAGGUGAAAUUCUUGGAUUUUUGGAAGACGAACUACUGCGAAAGCAUUUACCAAGGAUGUUUUCAUUAA
RNAcentral lists this ribosomal RNA (380 nucleotides) under uncultured eukaryote. RNAcentral's name for it is "partial 18S ribosomal RNA". It matches the Rfam family "Eukaryotic small subunit ribosomal RNA", at positions 592 to 976 of the family's 1831-position model. The record is from RNAcentral.